GUCGAGAAUCUUUCACAAUGGGGGCAACCCUGAUGGAGCGACGCCGCGUGGAGGAUAAGGUCUUCGGAUUGUAAACUCCUGUCAUGCGUGAACAAGGUUGCUUGGUUAAUACCUGGGCAAAUUGAUGGUAACGCAAGAGGAAGAGACGGCUAACUCUGUGCCAGCAGCCGCGGUAAUACAGAGGUCUCAAGCGUUGUUCGGAAUCACUGGGCGUAAAGGGUGCGUAGGUGGCGUGGUAAGUCAGAUGUGAAAGCCCGGGGCUCAACCUCGGAACUGCAUCCGAUACUGCCAUGCUAGAGUACUGGAGAGGUGACUAGAAUUCUCGGUGUAGCAGUGAAAUGCGUAGAUAUCGAGAGGAAUACCAAAGGCGUAGGCAGGUCACUGGACAGUUACUGACACUGAGGCACGAAGGCCAGGGGAGCGAACGGGAUUAGAUACUCUGGUAGUCC
This 449-nucleotide ribosomal RNA is filed under the name uncultured bacterium. RNAcentral's name for it is "partial 16S ribosomal RNA". It matches the Rfam family "Bacterial small subunit ribosomal RNA", at positions 354 to 796 of the family's 1533-position model. The record is from RNAcentral.